AUCCACACAGGAGGAGGAAUCAGCCAAAUCCUUUGUUCAGUCGUGGGCAGCCAUGACAGGUAAGGAGGGCGGGAGGGAAGACUGAAGAAAAAUGAGAGGAGGAGGAAUUUUGCUAAGAAUUUAUGGCGUUGAUAUCCAGAAUAAUAACUCGGUUUCUUGGCUGCAGACUCCAGCUCAUCCCCCUCACGCUCAGAGGGACGGAGUCUCAAGAAUCAGGCAGCCCACCUGCUUGGACAGCUGCCAUGCCGGGGGAACAUGAGGCAGCAACUUCUCCUCUCCUCAGGGGCUUUUACAACAGUCUACCUCCCAUACAGGGUU
This is a non-coding RNA of Xyrichtys novacula (pearly razorfish), 318 nucleotides long. The record is from the annotation of a GenBank genome assembly. Lineage: Eukaryota; Metazoa; Chordata; Actinopteri; Labriformes; Labridae.